RNAcentral lists this ribosomal RNA (683 nucleotides) under uncultured Chroococcales cyanobacterium. RNAcentral describes it as "bacterial SSU rRNA". It matches the Rfam family "Bacterial small subunit ribosomal RNA", at positions 94 to 811 of the family's 1533-position model. The record is from RNAcentral. Lineage: Bacteria; Bacillati; Cyanobacteriota; Cyanophyceae; Chroococcales.
AGUGGCGGACGGGUGAGUAACGCGUGAGGAUCUGCCCUUAGGUUGGGGAAAACAGUUGGAAACGACUGCUAAUACCCAAUGUGCCGAGAGGUGAAAGGUUUACUGCCUGAGGAUGAGCUCGCGUCCGAUUAGCUAGUUGGUGGGGUAAUGGCGUACCAAGGCGACGAUCGGUAGCUGGUCUGAGAGGAUGAUCAGCCACACUGGGACUGAGACACGGCCCAGACUCCUACGGGAGGCAGCAGUGGGGAAUUUUCCGCAAUGGGCGAAAGCCUGACGGARCAAGACCGCGUGCGGGAGGACGGCCUGUGGGUUGUAAACCGCUUUUGACAGGGAAGAARCUCUGACGGUACCUGUCGAAUCAGCAUCGGCUAACUCCGUGCCAGCAGCCGCGGUAAUACGGAGGAUGCAAGCGUUAUCCGGAAUUAUUGGGCGUAAAGCGUCCGUAGGUGGUUUAGUAAGUCUGCUGUUAAAGCGUGGAGCUUAACUCCAUAUCGGCAGUGGAAACUACUUGACUUGAGUGCGGUAGGGGUCAGGGGAAUUCCCAGUGUAGCGGUGAAAUGCGUAGAUAUUGGGAAGAACACCGGUGGCGAAAGCGCCUGACUGGGCCUGCACUGACACUGAGGGACGAAAGCUAGGGGAGCGAAAGGGAUUAGAUACCCCUGUAGUCCUAGCYGUAAACGAUG